RNAcentral lists this transfer RNA (76 nucleotides) under Desulfurobacterium indicum. RNAcentral's name for it is "tRNA-Val". It matches the Rfam family "tRNA". From Rfam's summary of the family: Transfer RNA (tRNA) molecules are approximately 80 nucleotides in length. Lineage: Bacteria; Pseudomonadati; Aquificota; Aquificia; Desulfurobacteriales; Desulfurobacteriaceae. The record is from RNAcentral.
GGGCGGAUAGCUCAGCUGGGAGAGCACCAGCCUUACAAGCUGGGGGUCACAGGUUCGAUCCCUGUUCCGCCCACCA